RNAcentral lists this small RNA (518 nucleotides) under Saccharomyces cerevisiae (brewer's yeast). Its description in RNAcentral is "RUF22". Lineage: Eukaryota; Fungi; Ascomycota; Saccharomycetes; Saccharomycetales; Saccharomycetaceae. The record is from RNAcentral.
GUUCAAUUAAUGAAUAAUUAGUUUGAUUAUUUUCCUCUUUAUUUGACCUUAGGAACAGUUUUUAAGGUAUACUCUGAAUUGCAAAUUUUUGUCAUAACUCUUGGUAAUCAAGGCUAGAAGUGUACUAUUUUUGCUUUCUGCACAAGGUUUUUUCUUCGGUACGACACAAAAACAACUAUUGUGUCGCAGUCCAUAGAAGGAGCAAGAAAAAAGAAUGUCUUUAAAGGCGAAUGUGAUGCUAUGCUUUCUAGUACCUACUGUGCCGAAUAAUGUGUAAGUCUCAAAAUUCUUUUCUUCCAAAGCAUAUCCAUAAUAUUUACCUUACGCUGGAUAUUUUUUUUUUGUUCACUCCAGAUCUAGUUUUUUUUUUAAACUUGAUCCCAACGUAACUAAAUAUAAACAAGACAAAGCUCGAAAUAAUAUAAUGUAAUUUAGCGAAUGUAGUGUUUAUAUCACCACAUUUGGAGAAUGUACAAUGAAUAGUUUCUCUGUCUCUAAUGAAAGAAGAAUUUAAUUUG